CAUACUCAGGCGGUCGGGUGAACUGUGGUUAAGGAACUCGGCAAAUUAACCCCGUAACUUCGGGAGAAGGGGUGCUGACAGCGAUGUCAGCCGCAGUGAAUAGGCCCAGGCGACUGUUUAUCAAAAACACAGGUCUCUGCAAAAUCGAAAGAUGACGUAUAGGGGCUGACGCCUGCCCGGUGCUGGAAGGUUAAGAGGAACUGUGAGGACGUAAGUCCGAAGCGGAGAAU
RNAcentral lists this ribosomal RNA (230 nucleotides) under Trichormus variabilis 9RC. RNAcentral's name for it is "partial 23S ribosomal RNA". It matches the Rfam family "Bacterial large subunit ribosomal RNA", at positions 1677 to 1912 of the family's 2925-position model. Lineage: Bacteria; Bacillati; Cyanobacteriota; Cyanophyceae; Nostocales; Nostocaceae. The record is from RNAcentral.